RNAcentral lists this long non-coding RNA (561 nucleotides) under Homo sapiens (human). RNAcentral's name for it is "HSALNT0331040". Lineage: Eukaryota; Metazoa; Chordata; Mammalia; Primates; Hominidae. The record is from RNAcentral.
GUUGGGCGCCGCUUGGAGCGCCUCUUCCCCUGCUGUGUGUGUACGUGUGCACGCUCACGUCUCCCCCGCGCCGGGGCCGGGGACAGGAACUGCUCUCGGUCCCGUCACCCCACGGCGCAGCUCGGGGGGCUCGCAGGGCUGGGGGAGGGCGGGGACACGAGCGCCGCGCCCAAGCGCCCCAGGGCACGCACCCGGCGUUGGCGCGCACUCGCCCCUCCCCCCGUCCCCACCCUCCUCCUGGAGAACAGAGAAAAGAAGAUGACCAUCUUCUCCUGAACAAAAUUAUGAACUGUCAGAGGUUUCAAAGGUAAUAAGUUUUAUGAUGCAAGUGGAAGAAGAACCAGAAGUAAUGAUGAGCUAGAACUUAUCAGAGAUUUCCUUGAAAUCAGGACUUGGUGUUUAUAAGAUGGGUCUGUCCCAGGCUUAUGCAUGACAGCUGGUGAGCAGUUAGUUGCAUGCAGAGGACAUUGCUCAUUUUGGGCCUAUCUACACUCAAAACCAGGAAAAUAUGCUGUGAAAAUUUGCUAUUACUAACGUCUCUAAUAAAGUUUUAAAAAACGA